UAAACAAUAAAUCCCCUCUUCAUUUCCCUGUCCCUUGGCAGCCCCUGCUCCUUCUCCAGCCUCCCUUGCUAUUGCAUGGCGCCACCUACUGCCAGCUCCCCCUACCAGCACUCAGCUGGCAUCCUCUCGGGUGCCAGGAGUGGCCUGCUUUCUUCUCCCAUCCCGGAAUCGCUGGCCUUUAAACUCCCAGCUGGCCACAUGGAUGACCUGGGCUUCCUGGGGGUGUGAAGCCACCACGCUGCCAGUUCCAAGACUGCAUGUCCUCAGCUGAGCUCAUGGACGGUUUGUCCUUGCCUUUUGUGUUGGACGUAACUGGCUCAGCCAGCAGGAGAGGGAGCGAGCAGGGACACCUGGCUUCAUGUCACUCUCCGACAUGCCUGUGGCAACAAGCAACUUCCUCCAGGCAGCUUCCUGACCGGACUAAACCAAGCAAACGGGAGAGGAUUUCUUACACUGCAAGCCCCUCAGGGCAGAAGCUAUAGCUACCUACAUGUCUGUUCAGCUGCCUGGUGGGAAGAGACCCCGCUCCCCAGUGGGACCUCUGGGCACCCCUGGGACGUGCUAUUAAAGCAUAGCAGGGGGGCCGCACUAACUAUGAGCUCUGGCUGUUACUGAGCUAGCAGGAUAAAUCCAAUGGGUGGCAAGCUGGCAGGGGGGAGCCGUCAGGCGGCUCUGGUGCCUCGCAUUCUGCACGUCUGCCAAGGCCAUUCGAUGGAUGAAUGUCGCCGGGGAAGGCUAUUUCGGUGAUUUGUGUGGCCUGCGUGUCUCAGCUGAUGGAUAACGACUGGUGAGCACGGCCUACAGGAAGGAGCGCCAGGUGUACCUAUCUUCAGCAGCACCUGAGCUAAGCCUGCCCUCCAGGCCUCAAGGUGCCUGUCCCUUGAGAAUUUUCACCCAUGCAGGAUGGAGCUCGGGGUCUCACUUCAAGGACAGACGGAGGGUGAUGCCCUUUCAGUCCCAGAGAUGCUGACAUGUAUUUAUCUGCAAGGCUGGCGUGGGCCUGUGGCAGUGGAGAAGACGUGGAAGGAAGUAGGCUGUUGCUCACAGCCAAGCUCAGUGAAGCUGUUUGGAAGCUGUCUGGUUACUUAGUGCUGAAAGUGGAAGUGUUCAAAUCCUCCCACCCGACUCUGGGACUAACCUAUGAGCACAGAAACCAAACAGAAGGUCCAAGGGAAGCUGUGAGAACAAGGGCAGCUGUUGGAUGCUUCUAGGAUUGCUGGUAACAAGACUCGUGCCUCGGGUGUUAAUUGUGCUAAUGGUACUCUGAUUAACUGUUUGGUAAUAAAGCAGCUGCCCAAAGGAUUUCUACUGGCAUUCAGCAUUCAUCAGCCAGACCAUGCUUUUCAAGUGGGGCUCUGCCUGCUCCAUCCAGCUGAACAUUUCGUGUAGUCACUGAGGCUGG
Trachemys scripta elegans is the source of this 1402-nucleotide long non-coding RNA. RefSeq lists it as uncharacterized. Lineage: Eukaryota; Metazoa; Chordata; Testudines; Emydidae. The record is from RefSeq and is a predicted model, not a curated record. The transcript has 3 exons.